This 425-nucleotide ribosomal RNA is filed under the name uncultured bacterium. RNAcentral describes it as "bacterial SSU rRNA". It matches the Rfam family "Bacterial small subunit ribosomal RNA", at positions 355 to 775 of the family's 1533-position model. The record is from RNAcentral.
UCGGGAAUUUUGGGCAAUGGGCGAAAGCCUGACCCAGCAACGCCGCGUGAAGGAUGAAGUUUCUCGGAAUGUAAACUUCAUAAGAAUGGGACGAAUAAGAGUGGGCUAACACCCUUCUCGAUGACGGUACCAUUUGUAAGCCCCGGCUAACUCCGUGCCAGCAGCCGCGGUAAUACGGGGGGGGCAAGCGUUGUUCGGAUUUACUGGGCGUAAAGGGCGCGUAGGCGGCGCAACAAGUCAGCUGUGAAAUCUCCGGGCUUAACUCGGAGCGGCCAGCUGAUACUGUCGUGCUAGAGUGCGGAAGGGGCAACUGGAAUUCUCGGUGUAGCGGUGAAAUGCGUAGAUAUCGAGAGGAACACCUGCGGCGAAGGCGGGUUGCUGGGCCGACACUGACGCUGAGGCGCGAAAGCUAGGGGAGCGAACGG